UGGGGAAUAUUGGACAAUGGGCGCAAGCCUGAUCCAGCCAUGCCGCGUGAGUGAUGAAGGCCCUAGGGUUGUAAAGCUCUUUUGUGCGGGAAGAUAAUGACUGUACCGCAAGAAUAAGCCCCGGCUAACUUCGUGCCAGCAGCCGCGGUAAUACGAAGGGGGCUAGCGUUGCUCGGAAUCACUGGGCGUAAAGCGCACGUAGGCGGACUCUUAAGUCGGUGGUGAAAUCCUGGAGCUCAACUCCAGAACUGCCUUCGAUACUGGGAGUCUCGAGUUCGGGAGAGGUGAGUGGAACUGCGAGUGUAGAGGUGAAAUUCGUAGAUAUUCGCAAGAACACCAGUGGCGAAGGCGGCUCACUGGCCCGAUACUGACGCUGAGGUGCGAAAGCGUGGGGAGCAAACGGG
Molecule: ribosomal RNA, 404 nt
Filed under: Actinomycetes bacterium
Lineage: Bacteria; Bacillati; Actinomycetota; Actinomycetes
Description: Actinobacteria bacterium partial 16S ribosomal RNA
Rfam family: Bacterial small subunit ribosomal RNA
Source: RNAcentral